AGAGGAUAGCUCAAUGGUAGAGCGUGUGCUUAGCAUGCACAAGGUCCUGGGUUCAAUCCCCAGUACCUCCA
RNAcentral lists this transfer RNA (71 nucleotides) under Camelus ferus (Wild Bactrian camel). It matches the Rfam family "tRNA". From Rfam's summary of the family: Transfer RNA (tRNA) molecules are approximately 80 nucleotides in length. Their secondary structure includes four short double-helical elements and three loops (D, anti-codon, and T loops). Lineage: Eukaryota; Metazoa; Chordata; Mammalia; Artiodactyla; Camelidae. The record is from Rfam by way of RNAcentral.